Molecule: ribosomal RNA, 476 nt
Filed under: uncultured bacterium
Lineage: Bacteria
Description: bacterial SSU rRNA
Rfam family: Bacterial small subunit ribosomal RNA
Source: RNAcentral
AUUAAACGCUGGCGGCAUGCCUUACACAUGCAAGUCGAACGGCAGCACGGGGGCAACCCUGGUGGCGAGUGGCGGACGGGUGAGUAAAGCAUCGGAACGUAUCCUGGAGUGGGGGAUAACGUAGCGAAAGUUACGCUAAUACCGCAUAUUCUGUGAGCAGGAAAGCAGGGGAUCGCAAGACCUUGCGCUCUGGGAGCGGCCGAUGUCGGAUUAGCUAGUUGGUGGGGUAAAGGCCUACCAAGGCGACGAUCCGUAGCGGGUCUGAGAGGAUGAUCAGCCACACUGGAACUGAGACACGGUCCAGACUCCUACGGGAGGCAGCAGUGGGGAAUCUUGCGCAAUGGGAGCAAUCCUGACGCAGCAACGCCGCGUGGGUGAUGAAGGUCUUCGGAUCGUAAAGCCCUGUCGGAGGGGAAGAUGCUUGGAACGUCUAAUAGAUGAGCCAGGUGACGGUACCAUCAGAAUAAGCACCGGCU